GUGAAUUAAACAUGCUUGGUGUCCUCGCUUCGGCAAGGCCCUUGCUUAAAUCACAUCCUAACACCUGUGAACUGUAAGACGUAUGAUGAGGUCUUUGGCCAAGUCAUCGUCUGCCCAUUUUUAACAAACAAUUAAUGUAACAAACGUAGUCUUAUUAUAACCUAAUA
RNAcentral lists this unclassified non-coding RNA (167 nucleotides) under soil metagenome. RNAcentral describes it as "partial internal transcribed spacer 1". The record is from RNAcentral.